Molecule: ribosomal RNA, 253 nt
Filed under: uncultured bacterium
Lineage: Bacteria
Description: partial 16S ribosomal RNA
Rfam family: Bacterial small subunit ribosomal RNA
Source: RNAcentral
UACGUAGGGUGCAAGCGUUAAUCGGAAUUACUGGGCGUAAAGCGUGCGCAGGCGGUCUUGCAAGACAGAUGUGAAAUCCCCGGGCUUAACCUGGGAACUGCAUUUGUGACUGCAAGGCUGGAGUGCGGCAGAGGGGGAUGGAAUUCCACGUGUAGCAGUGAAAUGCGUAGAGAUGUGGAGGAACACCGAUGGCGAAGGCAGCCCCCUGGGUCAAGAUUGACGCUCAUGCACGAAAGCGUGGGGAGCAAACAGG